RNAcentral lists this ribosomal RNA (710 nucleotides) under uncultured Pseudomonadota bacterium. RNAcentral's name for it is "bacterial SSU rRNA". It matches the Rfam family "Bacterial small subunit ribosomal RNA", at positions 42 to 745 of the family's 1533-position model. The record is from RNAcentral. Lineage: Bacteria; Pseudomonadati; Pseudomonadota.
GCAGGCUUAACACAUGCAAGUCGAGCGGGCGAGGUUGCUUCGAGUAACUGAGCUAGCGGCGGACGGGUGAGUAAUGCUUAGGAAUCUGCCUAUUAGUGGGGGACAACAUUCCGAAAGGAAUGCUAAUACCGCAUACGCCCUACGGGGGAAAGCAGGGGAUCUUCGGACCUUGCGCUAAUAGAUGAGCCUAAGUCAGAUUAGCUAGUUGGUGGGGUAAAGGCCUACCAAGGCGACGAUCUGUAGCGGGUCUGAGAGGAUGAUCCGCCACACUGGGACUGAGACACGGCCCAGACUCCUACGGGAGGCAGCAGUGGGGAAUAUUGGACAAUGGGCGAAAGCCUGAUCCAGCCAUGCCGCGUGUGUGAAGAAGGCCUUUUGGUUGUAAAGCACUUUAAGCGAGGAGGAGGCUACCGAGAUUAAUACUCUUGGAUAGUGGACGUUACUCGCAGAAUAAGCACCGGCUAACUCUGUGCCAGCAGCCGCGGUAAUACAGAGGGUGCGAGCGUUAAUCGGAUUUACUGGGCGUAAAGCGUGCGUAGGCGGCUUCUUAAGUCGGAUGUGAAAUCCCUGAGCUUAACUUAGGAAUUGCAUUCGAUACUGGGAAGCUAGAGUAUGGGAGAGGAUGGUAGAAUUCCAGGUGUAGCGGUGAAAUGCGUAGAGAUCUGGAGGAAUACCGAUGGCGAAGGCAGCCAUCUGGCCUAAUACUGACG